AUACGGUCUGGAUUGCUAGCUCUGCCUAUGAGCAUCAUGGCAUUGGUCAAAGGGAAGGAGGAGGUGAUAUAUGGUGUUUUAUACAUCUUGUAUAUAUGCUUUUAAAUUGGUUUUCAAGUCUUUAUCGAGUCUUCCUAGUCCUUUUGGAGUCAUUACAGGUCUGGAGUUGCAUUGGAUGGGAGAUGGAUCAGCUGGAACAAAAGAGGCAGAAAACAAUGCAAUUUGGUGGUUUUCACGCAGAACAGUCUUGAUGACUGUUCCGGAUAGCGGAGCAACCCAAGUGACUGUUCCGAGUGAGUGUUCCAGCGGCAGAGAUUUUUUAGGAAACUACAAUCAUUACGGGAUUUGCCCUAAUUAUCUCUAUUUUCUCUCCCAGCCGCCUGUGGCUUUGAUAUAUCAUAUUUUCGGUUUCUUUUUAUCAUUCUACGCCAUUCUAGACAGAAGAAAACCAUUGGAGACUUUAGGAUUUGAGGAUUUGCUACUUUGUAAAGGGAGAAGGCUCCAUCUCUCUCGCCUAGAGAAGAUUAUCCUGAACCCUCUUUUUGUUUCUGUUAUUUUUAUGCAGUAUUAUUCAGUAUUGAUGCUUGUGUUUUCUUGUGUCAUGGCUGAGUAGUCGGCUAGCUAGUCUAGGGUUCUAGGGUGUUAAUCAUGUGAGCUAAACAUAGAUAAGUGAAUCAUAUUAUUGUCUUCAUUCAUAUCCAUCCUUACUGCUUGCAUUAAUCUGGCCGCUUAAUGCUAGAUCCUAGGUUUAACCUGUUCAUUAACCGUGUAACAGGUUGCUAGAUCUGUUAUGAAUGAGCCUAGCAUCCCUAAUCAGCGAAAGUAGAUAUUAGGGUGUUUGGUGAACCUAUCGGACUUGAUCUCUAUUGCUUGCUGUCGGGGCUUGAUCCAAACGAGAGUUUAGGUAUCAAGACCGAUCAGCAUAGGGGGCAGUUCCACGACAGUGGGCUGUUCUACUUGAGUGAUCCGAGUUCUGGACCUGUUCUUAUAGCGCUUGAAUAAUUGUUUAUCUCACAAGUAUUAGCACCUGAUGAAGUAACCCUAGGCUGGCUUCUUUUAAGUUGAAUUCACAUUUACAUUAUUUACUUGUUUUGCACGUUACCCACAAAUCAAAACCCCAUCAUUGUUUUAGCUAAGUAUUGAUCCCAUAAGGAUAAAGUGUAAUUGUUGGUCUCUGUGGAUUCGAUCCUAAAGUGCUACAUCGACAUACCAUUCGAUUGUGGUAGUGUGCACAUUAGGUUAUUUGGUGUGCGUAUACACGUAAUAUCAAAUUGGCGCCGUUGCCGGGGACCAUCUUUUUACCUUUAUUUUUCGGUUAUUUAUUUAGUCUAAGACCUCUAACUUGCCUUAUCCUUUUUGUUGCAGCUAAUCUUCCAGGUGCAUGACCAGUAGACAUACUCGGAGAAACGCACAAGGAGAGUUAGUUACAUUUACCAACCAGGAGCUAGCAAGGUUAGAAAGAACAAAUCGUCAACAGCCAAGGCAAACUGACACCACUAUGGGUGAUCACGCCAAUCAGGAUGAUCUCGCUGCGGCUAUGGCACUCAUGCAGCAGCAGAUGCUACAAAUGCAGCAGACCAUCCAAGCUCAGCAGGAUGCUGCUGAACAGGCUGCUCUCGCGCAGCAAGAACAACAGGCGCAGACUGUUCCAAUCGGGCAGAGAAACCUUCCGCGUAACAUCCCUACUACGCGCUCUGCCAUUGUUCCUCCACUCUGCACCAGGCAGGACUUCGAGAUCAAGCCUGCUUUGAUUGGUCUAGUACAGAGAAAGGUGUUCUCUGGUCUCUCUACAGAAAUUCCAAUGGAGCAUAUUGAGAGCUUCGAAAAAGUCUGCAGUUUCACUCGCGUGAAUGGUGUUCCACCAGACUACAUCACGUGCAUGUUAUUCCCAUUCUCUCUUGAUGGAAAAGCUGCACGGUGGUUGAACUCUCUCCCUACUGGCUCUCUCACUUCAUGGGAACAGGUCCGAUCAGCGUUCCUCAGUUAUUUCUACUCUAAGGCGAGAACAGCUGCAUUGAGGAACAAGAUCACCUCCUUCAAACAGCUCACUGAUGAGCCUUUCUGCGACGCAUGGGAGCGCUUCAAUGACUAUCGCAGAGAAUGUCCUCACCAUGGAUUUGAUGAUGAUUAUCUCCUGGACAUUUUCUAUGAUGGAGUGGACUGGAAAUACCAAGGUGCUCUAAACUCUGCGAGCAAUGGAGAUUUCAUGACUCAAACCACUGAUGGAGCUUUUAAGCUGAUUGAGAACAUGGCUGCUAGCUCAGCUAAUAAGAAAGAGGAGAGUGAUUGCUCCAUGAAAGGGAACAGUUCUGACGCCCAGAAAAUAGAUGAGCUGACUGCCAAGGUUGAUCAGCUACUGAAAAACAACCAAGGACACGUUUUCAACAUGGAACAACCUACGGCCGGGCAUAUUCAGAACCAGAACCAGCGACAACCGCAGAGCAAUCCGCAUGUUGUUCCAGCUAACGGGAACAGUCAACCAGAUGAGCUGAAGGGUCUGGGUAUGAUGAUGCAACAGCUGUUGCAGGGUCAGCAGGUUCAGGCCAAGGCGUUGAAUCAGGUAACCACGGAAAUAGACACCAGGAUGGGCAACAUGUUCACUGAGCUGAAUAACAAGUAUGACAAUCUUGCGAUCCAUAUAAGAAAGAUCGAUGUUCAGCUUGCUCAAACAGUUGAGAGUGUCAAGAGGCAACAAGAGACGCUUCCUGGAAGAACUGAUAAAAAUCCUAGGACUGAGCACUGUAAUGCAAUAGAGCAGCCGUUUGCUGAGACUGCUUCAGGCGCAGAAGAUAGAGCAGAGCAGUCUGCUAGCCCUGGAGUGACUGCUCCUAGCGAACCUGCUGAGACUCCCCCAUCUCGAGUCUAUGUUCCCAAGGUUCCCUAUCCAAUUCCACCUAGACAUCUGAUGGAUCCCAUUAGUGAAGAGCAGCUGAUAGGGUUUAACAAGAUGGUGAGAAGGCUUCCUAAAGAACUUGCAUUCGAAGAUGCUCUGCAGAUUCGUCCAUUGCUCCAGUUCUUUAAACACUGUAGAGAGACUCAAGAGGAGAUCAAGGUUCUCUAUAUCAAAGCACUGUCUACACCAGCAUUGAAGGUAUUGCCUAAGGUUGAUGAUCCUGGAAAGUUUGUUUUCCCAUGCUCCAUCGCAGGAACAACCUUCAAGGAUGCUCUGUGUGACUCUGGUUCUUGUGUGAAUCUCGUCUCAAAGGCUAUUGUAGACGAUUUGGGUAUUGCUGAUGUUGAGCGUUCUCAGCUGACCCUAACCUUUGCAAACUCUUCCAGAGCAGUCCCAUAUGGAACCAUCCGCAGCCUUCAUGUUCAAGUAGGGGAAUGCAUUGUUCCUGCUGAGUUUCAAGUUGUUGAGAUGAACAAGGAUCAUGAGAUGCCUUUGAUAUUUGGAAGGACAUUCAUGGCUACUGUUGGAGCAACCAUCGAUAUGCCCAACAAGAGAGUCUGCUUCUCCAACAUCAACAAGAAAGUUUUCUACAAGGCUGUACCCACCAGAUCUUCCUCAUCACACGCCUCUCGCAUCUCAGUGUUUGAUGUAGAAAAGCUGAAAGUUGUUCCAGAAAAGGAGCAUGGUGAUAAGGGUGAGAGCAGGCUGUUCUCUGAUGAAGAUCCUAGCACUGAUCCUACUAAAUUCAGAGGGAAUUCAAGGGUGAAACAGAAAGUCCAGAAGAAAAGGAUCAAGGGAGAUCCUUCAAUGACUUUGAUACCUCUCAAGUGUGAUGAGAACUCCAUUGAGUAUGAGGUAAAGUGCAAAGGUACCUCUAAACCGUUCUCUAAAGUCAGAGCUAUUCUCACACAUGAGCUGAAGGAGAAAGGGGAAGCUGCUGUGAAAGGGUUGUUGAGCAGAGUUUUGAAGCUGAACAUGUCUGAUUGUGGAGCUUGUUUUGGAACAAGCCCUCCUGCUCAACCCGACUGAUCCCAGUCACCAAGUCAAGCUAGAGACUUAAACCAAGCGCUUGGUGGGAGGCAACCCACUGGUGAGUGUCAUUAACAUUAGGAUUUUCUUUUUACUUAUUUUUGUUUUUAGUUUGUUGAGUCUCAGGUCAGAAAUCAGAAAAUUCGAGACCCUUGACUGGAGCAAGCAGCUGGCUGCUCUCAUUCCAGAGCAUCCUUUACCGGAGCAACCGCGUCUUGCUCUGUCAGGCUGCUCCGCGCCAGGUAAGUAUCUCGAACAAAAAAAAAUGUUUAUUCUUGAUUUCACCUUCUCUCUGAUUUAUUUUCACACCAGGGACGUUGUGAAGUAAGUCUGGGGGAGGGUUUUCGUCGUUUACUAACUCGUUUCUUUCUUUUGUUUUUCUUUUGGGUCAAUAUGAGUCAGUUUUUAUUGAGUCAGUCAAAACUUUGUGGAAAUUAGGACCUUAUUCUGUGUUGAUCACUGACCACCUCGUGCUUUAGUUAUCUUAUUCAGUGACCUUAGCAGUGGCGAAAGACACACAUGUGGACCUGGAACACCCUGACAUAUCUCACUUGAUUCUCCAGAAGUUCUCAGCCGAUCAGGUUACACUGGGUAGACUUAACUCCACCUUACUUGAACCUAAUCUUGACUGAAAUUCUUCUUGUUAUGGGCAUUAGAUCAGGGAAACGAGAACACACUCAGGACUUCUUAUCCUUUUUAUCCAUCUUGCUGAUCCUGAGUGGCUAGCUCAUCUUUAGCUAGUUCCCACCCUGCACCUUAGCCUUUAUUCCACCUUCAUGCAUUUGUUUUUCAGUGUCAUAUGUGCAGAUAUGUGCAAAAAGGUCGGAGAGGAAAGGAUCAACGCAGCCUCCUACUCGUUACUGCUGCAGAAAUUAUGUCAGAACGGAGAACAAGCAGAUAAGGGAGCAACCGCUUUAUAACCAAGAGCAGGGGUGGAGAGCCAGAAUGGUCGCGAAAUCAGAACCACCAGUGGCACUCAGAACGAUCAUGUGUUACCUCCUUCUUCGUCACAUCACCAUAUCAGUCUUCAAAAAAAAAAAAAAAAAAAAAAAAAAGUGAUGGAGAAGGAGAAGAAAGAAAAGAAACAUGGAGCCACUGGAAAGGUCGAGCAAGAAGUUGGUACCAAGUAUUGAAGAGUGUGUAGAGGAAAGUGGAAAGCAGAACAAUCAGUUGCCUGUUCCGUCAUCAGAACAGUCGCACCAGAUAGAGCAAAAACGAGUAGAGGCUGUGGACAUCAAUGGAUCUAUCCUCUCUUGCCAUUUUGUGUGAUAUCCUGCAUCCUCUUCAAUGAAAUGGUAGCCCCUAAACACUCUUAACUCCACCAUUAAAUAGCCUGUUCCACACCUAGACCGUCUACCCUGAAUGAUGCCUGUGAUGAGAAGCUCACGCUACUCUUAAAUGAAUGUAGGGAGUUCUGUCUCGAUAGUGUUGCUUUUUCAGGUUUGAGAUGAAGAGUAUGGAGCCGAUUUUUGAACAGCAGUCAGUGGGGUUCCGGUAAGGGUGUGUUGUCCUAGUUUUCUGCUUGUAUGGUUCAGAGAUUCGUGGUUAAAGUAUGGUUGCUGAGAAUAGGAGAGUUCCCACACUUUCAAACCUUUCUCCCUGUUCUUGAUACUUGACAUUGUUUGAGGACAAACAUGGAUCUAAGUCUGGGGGAAUUGAUAUAUGGUGUUUUAUACAUCUUGUAUAUAUGCUUUUAAAUUGGUUUUCAAGUCUUUAUCGAGUCUUCCUAGUCCUUUUGGAGUCAUUACAGGUCUGGAGUUGCAUUGGAUGGGAGAUGGAUCAGCUGGAACAAAAGAGGCAGAAAACAAUGCAAUUUGGUGGUUUUCACGCAGAACAGUCUUGAUGACUGUUCCGGAUAGCGGAGCAACCCAAGUGACUGUUCCGAGUGAGUGUUCCAGCGGCAGAGAUUUUUUAGGAAACUACAAUCAUUACGGGAUUUGCCCUAAUUAUCCCUAUUUUCUCUCCCAGCCGCCUGUGGCUUUGAUAUAUCAUAUUUUCGGUUUCUUUUUAUCAUUCUACGCCAUUCUAGACAGAAGAAAACCAUUGGAGACUUUAGGAUUUGAGGAUUUGCUACUUUGUAAAGGGAGAAGGCUCCAUCUCUCUCGCCUAGAGAAGAUUAUCCUGAACCCUCUUUUUGUUUCUGUUAUUUUUAUGCAGUAUUAUUCAGUAUUGAUGCUUGUGUUUUCUUGUGUCAUGGCUGAGUAGUCGGCUAGCUAGUCUAGGGUUCUAGGGUGUUAAUCAUGUGAGCUAAACAUAGAUAAGUGAAUCAUAUUAUUGUCUUCAUUCAUAUCCAUCCUUACUGCUUGCAUUAAUCUGGCCGCUUAAUGCUAGAUCCUAGGUUUAACCUGUUCAUUAACCGUGUAACAGGUUGCUAGAUCUGUUAUGAAUGAGCCUAGCAUCCCUAAUCAGCGAAAGUAGAUAUUAGGGUGUUUGGUGAACCUAUCGGACUUGAUCUCUAUUGCUUGCUGUCGGGGCUUGAUCCAAACGAGAGUUUAGGUAUCAAGACCGAUCAGCAUAGGGGGCAGUUCCACGACAGUGGGCUGUUCUACUUGAGUGAUCCGAGUUCUGGACCUGUUCUUAUAGCGCUUGAAUAAUUGUUUAUCUCACAAGUAUUAGCACCUGAUGAAGUAACCCUAGGCUGGCUUCUUUUAAGUUGAAUUCACAUUUACAUUAUUUACUUGUUUUGCACGUUACCCACAAAUCAAAACCCCAUCAUUGUUUUAGCUAAGUAUUGAUUCCAUAAGGAUAAAGUGUAAUUGUUGGUCUCUGUGGAUUCGAUCCUAAAGUGCUACAUCGACAUACCAUUCGAUUGUGGUAGUGUGCACAUUAGGUUAUUUGGUGUGCGUAUACACGUAAUAUCAGGAGGCGCGUGGCUAGGAGGGCAGCACGCUUGGGGAUGCAGAGAAGCUAUUAUCGCCCAGCUCCCUACCCUCUUUCAUGAUCUUUUUUAUAGGUAGAACUACUGUGAGCGGUCCGGUUCCUUCGCAAACUCUCUUCUCUUCACAUGGAGUUGUUCAUCUGCUUUCUCUUACCUCAGCAGAACACUUCUCGGACAGUCAGCAGUAUGCUGGAUAAAGCAUGCAUCCAGCAAGUCUGUCAACUUCUUCCUAAGUUCCCUUGAAAAAGCUACUAGGGCAUCACAUCUAUACUGAAAGACUACUUUACGACGACGGACGACCGCCCGUAGGGGAUUGACUGCACAAGGCCCCUGCAGAGAAAUUAAUAUCCAGCACAGAGGAGUGAUGGUCGAUUGAUAGAUUUAUAUUCGUUUGAGAAAAUUUAAAAUAAAGUAUAUGUAAAAAAAAUGUAUGAUUUAGUAUAAUAUUAUUAUUUUGUUAAAUUGUAUUGAUAAAUAAAAUAUAGAUCAAAUAAAAUGAGAGGGAUAAAAAAAGAAAAAUAAAAGAAAAAAGAAAAGAAUCAAAAGCUGAAAUUGUUUAAGGGUAGAUAUUGUAAUAUUAUAUAAAAGUAUAUUGUAUAUUCUAACCAUAGAGUUCAUAUGGUUAUUUGUUGAAUUAUAUUUUUUUUUAUGGUUAUACAUGCUAAUUUCCCUUCAUUCUUUCGGAUCUUGAUUAUUAUACUAAUCAAUUUAAAUUCUAAAGACACCUACAGUGAUAGAUUAAAAAAAACAAUGGAAGUAGCCACUCUUGUGUUUUGAAUAAAAGUG
Molecule: long non-coding RNA, 7586 nt
Filed under: Brassica rapa (field mustard)
Lineage: Eukaryota; Viridiplantae; Streptophyta; Magnoliopsida; Brassicales; Brassicaceae
Description: long non-coding RNA (BRAP_LNC000150)
Source: RNAcentral